CGGAACGUUUCCCCAAGCGGGAGGGAACAUGAGCCGCUGUAAAGUGAGCCGCCGGUUCGAAUCCGGGCGUUCUGA
This 75-nucleotide transfer RNA is filed under the name Bacteriophage sp. RNAcentral describes it as "tRNA-OTHER". The record is from RNAcentral.